This 406-nucleotide ribosomal RNA is filed under the name uncultured bacterium. Its description in RNAcentral is "partial 16S ribosomal RNA". It matches the Rfam family "Bacterial small subunit ribosomal RNA", at positions 30 to 526 of the family's 1533-position model. The record is from RNAcentral.
AUUGAACGCUGGCGGCAGGCCUAACACAUGCAAGUCGAACGAGUGGCGGACGGGUGAGUAAUGUCUGGGAAACUGCCCGAUGGAGGGGGAUAACUACUGGAAACGGUAGCUAAUACCGCAUACUAUCGGAUGAACCCAUAUGGGAUUAGCUAGUAGGUGGGGUAAAGGCUCACCUAGGCGACGAUCUCUAGCUGGUCUGAGAGGAUGAUCAGCCACACUGGGACUGAGACACGGCCCAAACUCCUACGGGAGGCAGCAGUGGGGAAUAUUGCACAAUGGGGGAAACCCUGAUGCAGCAACGCCGCGUGCGGGAGGACGGCCUUCGGGUUGUAAACCGCUUUCAGCCAUGACGCGGUAGUGGCAGAAGAAGCACCGGCUAACUACGUGCCAGCAGCCGCGGUAAUAC